RNAcentral lists this ribosomal RNA (450 nucleotides) under uncultured bacterium. RNAcentral's name for it is "partial 16S ribosomal RNA". It matches the Rfam family "Bacterial small subunit ribosomal RNA", at positions 354 to 796 of the family's 1533-position model. The record is from RNAcentral.
GUGGGGAAUAUUCCGCAAUGGACGAAAGUCUGACGGAGCAACGCCGCGUGAGUGAUGAAGGUUUUCGGACUGUAAAGCUCUGUUGUUUAGGACGAAAGUGCCUGUUGCGAACAGUUACAGGUAUUGACGGUACUAAACGAGGAAGCCACGGCUAACUACGUGCCAGCAGCCGCGGUAAUACGUAGGUGGCAAGCGUUGUCCGGAAUUAUUGGGCGUAAAGAGCAUGUAGGCGGAGAUUUAAGUCUGUUGUGAAAAUGCGGGGCUCAACCCCGUAUUGCGAUGGAAACUGAAUUUCUUGAGUGCAGGAGAGGAAAGGGGAAUUCCCAGUGUAGCGGUGAAAUGCGUAGAUAUUGGGAGGAACACCAGUGGCGAAGGCGCCUUUCUGGACUGUGUCUGACGCUGAGAUGCGAAAGCCAGGGGAGCGAACGGGAUUAGAAACCCUGGUAGUCC